CCCCUAGUCCCACUAGUCUAUCCUCCCAGCCUCUCAGACUGAACCCUCUAGUCCCACUAGACUAUCCUUCCAGCCUCUCAGACUGAAUCUCCUAGUCCCACUAGACUAUCCUUCCAGCCUCUCAGACUGAAUCUCCUAGUCCCACUAGACUAUCCUUCCAGCCUCCCAGACUGAAUCUCCUAGUCCCACUAGACUAUCCUCCCAGCCUCUCAGACUGAAUCUUCUAGUCCCACUAGACUAUCCUUCCAGCCUCCCAGACUGAAUCUCCUAGUCCCACUAGACUAUCCUUCCAGCCUCCCAGACUGAAUCUCCUAGUCCCACUAGACUAUCCUUCCAGCCUCCCAGACUGAAUCUCCUAGUCCCACUAGACUAUCCUUCCAGCCUCUCAGACUGAAUCUCCUAGUCCCACUAGACUAUCCUUCCAGCCUCCCAGACUGAAUCUCCUAGUCCCACUAGACUAUCCUUCCAGCCUCUCAGACUGAAUCUCCUAGUCCCACUAGACUAUCCUUCCAGCCUCCCAGACUGAAUCUCCUAGUCCCACUAGACUAUCCUCCCAGCCUCUCAGACUGAAUCUCCGAGUCUCUCAG
This 587-nucleotide long non-coding RNA is filed under the name Helianthus annuus (common sunflower). Its description in RNAcentral is "hypothetical non coding rna". Lineage: Eukaryota; Viridiplantae; Streptophyta; Magnoliopsida; Asterales; Asteraceae. The record is from RNAcentral.